Molecule: long non-coding RNA, 218 nt
Filed under: Glycine max (soybean)
Lineage: Eukaryota; Viridiplantae; Streptophyta; Magnoliopsida; Fabales; Fabaceae
Description: long non-coding RNA (GMAX_LNC000851)
Source: RNAcentral
UGAGAGGAUUUAUGCAAUUAUGCUAUGCAUGUAAAUAAAAAAUGGAAAUUUUCAAAACAAAGGAGAGGUCAUUCUAAUUUUAUUGAAACUUGGUCUUUACAAUUUACUCAAAAAGAAUGACUGAAAUUUUACAAUUGGAAAAAAUCAAAUGCGGAUGCAAUUAUACUUCUCUGAUAGCUUUGUAUGGCUUUCCAUUAGAUAUGCCAGCAACAAAUAAC